RNAcentral lists this ribosomal RNA (289 nucleotides) under uncultured bacterium. RNAcentral describes it as "partial 16S ribosomal RNA". It matches the Rfam family "Bacterial small subunit ribosomal RNA", at positions 335 to 620 of the family's 1533-position model. The record is from RNAcentral.
UCUCCUACGGGGGGCAGCAGUGAGGAAUAUUGGUCAAUGGGCGGAAGCCUGAACCAGCCAAGUCGCGUGAGGGAAUAAGGCCCUACGGGUCGUAAACCUCUUUUGCCGGGGAGCAAGGGCCGGGACGAGUCCCGGUCCGGAGAGUACCCGGAGAAAAAGCAUCGGCUAACUCCGUGCCAGCAGCCGCGGUAAUACGGAGGAUGCGAGCGUUAUCCGGAUUUAUUGGGUUUAAAGGGUGCGCAGGCGGCACGGCAAGCCGGCGGUCAAAUCGCGGGGGUCAACCCCGCCC